AUGAACGCUGGCGGCGUGCUUAACACAUGCAAGUCGAACGGGAAUUAUUUUAUUGAAACUUCGGUCGAUUUAAUUUAAUUCUAGUGGCGGUCGGGUGAGUAACGCGUGGGUAACCUGCCUUAUACAGGGGGAUAACAGUCAGAAAUGGCUGCUAAUACCGCAUAAGCGCACAGAGCUGCAUGGCUCAGUGUGAAAAACUCCGGUGGUAUAAGAUGGACCCGCGUUGGAUUAGCUGGUUGGUGGGGUAACGGCCCACCAAGGCGACGAUCCAUAGCCGGCCUGAGAGGGUGAACGGCCACAUUGGGACUGAGACACGGCCCAGACUCCUACGGGAGGCAGCAGUGGGGAAUAUUGCACAAUGGGGGAAACCCUGAUGCAGCGACGCCGCGUGAAGGAAGAAGUAUCUCGGUAUGUAAACUUCUAUCAGCAGGGAAGAUAGUGACGGUACCUGACGAAGAAGCCCCGGCUAACUACGUG
This 477-nucleotide ribosomal RNA is filed under the name uncultured bacterium. Its description in RNAcentral is "partial 16S ribosomal RNA". It matches the Rfam family "Bacterial small subunit ribosomal RNA", at positions 29 to 507 of the family's 1533-position model. The record is from RNAcentral.